This 425-nucleotide ribosomal RNA is filed under the name Oribacterium sp. oral taxon 102. RNAcentral's name for it is "bacterial SSU rRNA". It matches the Rfam family "Bacterial small subunit ribosomal RNA", at positions 28 to 430 of the family's 1533-position model. Lineage: Bacteria; Bacillati; Bacillota; Clostridia; Lachnospirales; Lachnospiraceae. The record is from RNAcentral.
GAUGAACGCUGGCGGCGUGCCUAACACAUGCAAGUCGAACGGGGUUCUAUGUCGGAAGUUUUCGGAUGGAAGAGAUAGGACCCAGUGGCGGACGGGUGAGUAACACGUGGGUAACCUGCCUCAUAGAGGGGGAUAACAGAGAGAAAUCACUGCUAAUACCGCAUAAGCACACAGGAUCGCAUGAUCCAGUGUGAAAAGAUUUAUCGCUAUGAGAUGGACUCGCGUCUGAUUAGCUGGUUGGCGGGGUAAAGGCCCACCAAGGCGACGAUCAGUAGCCGAUCUGAGAGGAUGGCCGGCCACAUUGGGACUGAGACACGGCCCAGACUCCUACGGGAGGCAGCAGUGGGGGAUAUUGCACAAUGGAGGGAACUCUGAUGCAGCAAACGCCCGCGUGAGUGAAAGAAAGUAUUUUCGGUAAUGUAAAA